Molecule: ribosomal RNA, 446 nt
Filed under: uncultured bacterium
Lineage: Bacteria
Description: partial 16S ribosomal RNA
Rfam family: Bacterial small subunit ribosomal RNA
Source: RNAcentral
CCUACGGGUGGCAGCAGUCGAGAAUCAUUCACAAUGGGGGAAACCCUGAUGGUGCGACGCCGCGUGGGGGAAUGAAGGUCUUCGGAUUGUAAACCCCUGUCAUGUGGGAGCAAAUUAAAAAGAUAGUACCACAAGAGGAAGAGACGGCUAACUCUGUGCCAGCAGCCGCGGUAAUACAGAGGUCUCAAGCGUUGUUCGGAAUCACUGGGCGUAAGGCGUGCGUAGGCUGUUUCGUAAGUCGUGUGUGAAAGGCGCGGGCUCAACCCGCGGACGGCACAUGAUACUGCGAGGCUAGAGUAAUGGAGGGGGAACCGGAAUUCUCGGUGUAGCAGUGAAAUGCGUAGAUAUCGAGAGGAACACUCGUGGCGAAGGCGGGUUCCUGGACAUUAACUGACGCUGAGGCACGAAGGCCAGGGGAGCGAAAGGGAUUAGAUACCCCGGUAGUC